UCCUAAUCUUUUCUACUUUGACAUUAGAAAUACGACGGAGGGCCCAGUCACUGCCCUUAGCCCCCACUGCCUGGCCUUUACUGCCCGUCUCUAAGACUGGAGGUGAGGGCUUAAAAAGCGUGCGGACGCCUCCGACUCCCCCGAGUGCCCACAGUGCUGGGGACUUCCCAAGCUUCCGGCCUCCAGGCCAAAGACCUGAGUGCUGCUGGAGCUGGAAGGCACCCUCGCCCAGUCCAUCGACCCUCCCCUCUUUAUAGAUGAGAAAAGGAAGGCCCAGAGAGGAGCCGUGUCGGGCCUGAAGUCACACAUCCUGAACGUGGCUCUCUCAGGGCCCAGCCCCGAGCUCUCUCCUGGGUGCCUCAGCUCCAUCUGUACGAAUUCAGGCUAGAAGCGGGGUAGAGACCAUCUCUGGUGCGGGGGCUCCUCGCCUGGCGGGGAUCUGCCCAGUUGGUUUAUCUGUUUCAGUGGCUUUAUUUCAAGAGAAUCUUUGCCUUUGGAACCCUUCCUAGUUUACUGUAUGCAUUUAUUCAUGCCUUUAGAGUCAGCCCCCUCCCCAUCGCACCUCCCUUUGGUGACUGAGCCAGCCGGCCCUUUGGAUAGCAUGUUCUCAGCCCCACUGAAGUACCACCUGGCUAGGACAAGCCAUGGCCUCCAGGGCCCCUUUCUUAGUCUAAGAAUAUGAUUCUUACCUUUGAAGACUGAGGAGAAAGUCUUUGAUUUGGACUAGCCAGAAUUAAGGCAGUUUAAACCAGUCUGUAGGGUAGGAAUGAAACUGUUGGCUAAUGAGAACUUCCUCCUUCCUCCCUCCUUCUUUCCUUCCUCCCUCCCUUUCCUUUCUUCUUUCCUUCCUUCCUUCCUCUUCCCCUUCUUCCUUCUUCCCUUCCUUUCUUCCUCCCUCCCUUUCCUUUCCUCUUUCCCUCCUUCCUUCCUCUUUCCCUUCUUCCCUUCCUUUCUUCCCUCCCUCCCUUCCUUCCUCUCUCCCUCCCUUUCCUUUCCUCUUUUCCUCCCUCCUUCCUUCCUCUUUCCCUUCUUCCUCCCUCCCUUCCUUUCUUCCCACCUUCUUUGCUUCCUCUUUCCCUCCUUCCCUCCUUCCUUCCUCCUGUCCUUUCUCUCUGCCCUUCCUUUCCACCUAUCCAGGCUGUUGGCAGGUACGAUUCCAAAGACAAAGGGAACAGCACUUAGCAGGCACUAAGCACAGGGCUGGAAGCUGUGAUGGUCUGCAGCCUCCUUGUCCAGCCUGCUUGUUC
This 1247-nucleotide long non-coding RNA is filed under the name Monodelphis domestica (gray short-tailed opossum). RNAcentral's name for it is "lncRNA (ENSMODG00000048707.1)". Lineage: Eukaryota; Metazoa; Chordata; Mammalia; Didelphimorphia; Didelphidae. The record is from RNAcentral.